Molecule: ribosomal RNA, 428 nt
Filed under: uncultured Bdellovibrio sp.
Lineage: Bacteria; Pseudomonadati; Bdellovibrionota; Bdellovibrionia; Bdellovibrionales; Pseudobdellovibrionaceae
Description: bacterial SSU rRNA
Rfam family: Bacterial small subunit ribosomal RNA
Source: RNAcentral
UAGGGAAUAUUGCACAAUGGAGGAAACUCUGAUGCAGCGACGCCGCGUGAGUGAUGAAGGCUUUCGGGUCGUAAAGCUCUGUCGCAGGGGAAUAACACAAUGAAUGUACCCUGUAAGAAAGGAUCGGCUAACUUCGUGCCAGCAGCCGCGGUAAGACGAGGGAUCCUAGCGUUGUUCGGAAUUAUUGGGCGUAAAGCGGAUGUAGGUGGCUUUGUAAGUCAGGUGUGAAAGCCUAGGGCUCAACCCUAGAAGUGCAUCUGAUACUGCGAAGCUUGAGUGUGGGAGAGGAUAGUAGAAUUCCUGGUGUAGUGGUGAAAUACGUAGAUAUCAGGAGGAAUACCGGAGGCGAAGGCGGCUAUCUGGCCCAACACUGACACUGAGAUCCGAAAGCGUGGGGAGCAAACAGGAUUAGAUACCCCGGUAGUCCC